This 1536-nucleotide ribosomal RNA is filed under the name uncultured Staphylococcus sp. RNAcentral's name for it is "partial 16S ribosomal RNA". It matches the Rfam family "Bacterial small subunit ribosomal RNA". The record is from RNAcentral. Lineage: Bacteria; Bacillati; Bacillota; Bacilli; Caryophanales; Staphylococcaceae.
CGAAUUCGCCCUUAGAGUUUGAUCAUGGCUCAGGAUGAACGCUGGCGGCGUGCCUAAUACAUGCAAGUCGAGCGAACGGACGAGAAGCUUGCUUCUCUGAUGUUAGCGGCGGACGGGUGAGUAACACGUGGAUAACCUACCUAUAAGACUGGGAUAACUUCGGGAAACCGGAGCUAAUACCGGAUAAUAUUUUGAACCGCAUGGUUCAAAAGUAAAAGACGGUCUUGCUGUCACUUAUAGAUGGAUCCGCGCUGCAUUAGCUAGUUGGUAAGGUAACGGCUUACCAAGGCAACGAUGCAUAGCCGACCUGAGAGGGUGAUCGGCCACACUGGAACUGAGACACGGUCCAGACUCCUACGGGAGGCAGCAGUAGGGAAUCUUCCGCAAUGGGCGAAAGCCUGACGGAGCAACGCCGCGUGAGUGAUGAAGGUCUUCGGAUCGUAAAACUCUGUUAUUAGGGAAGAACAUAUGUGUAAGUAACUGUGCACAUCUUGACGGUACCUAAUCAGAAAGCCACGGCUAACUACGUGCCAGCAGCCGCGGUAAUACGUAGGUGGCAAGCGUUAUCCGGAAUUAUUGGGCGUAAAGCGCGCGUAGGCGGUUUUUUAAGUCUGAUGUGAAAGCCCACGGCUCAACCGUGGAGGGUCAUUGGAAACUGGAAAACUUGAGUGCAGAAGAGGAAAGUGGAAUUCCAUGUGUAGCGGUGAAAUGCGCAGAGAUAUGGAGGAACACCAGUGGCGAAGGCGACUUUCUGGUCUGUAACUGACGCUGAUGUGCGAAAGCGUGGGGAUCAAACAGGAUUAGAUACCCUGGUAGUCCACGCCGUAAACGAUGAGUGCUAAGUGUUAGGGGGUUUCCGCCCCUUAGUGCUGCAGCUAACGCAUUAAGCACUCCGCCUGGGGAGUACGACCGCAAGGUUGAAACUCAAAGGAAUUGACGGGGACCCGCACAAGCGGUGGAGCAUGUGGUUUAAUUCGAAGCAACGCGAAGAACCUUACCAAAUCUUGACAUCCUUUGACAACUCUAGAGAUAGAGCCUUCCCCUUCGGGGGACAAAGUGACAGGUGGUGCAUGGUUGUCGUCAGCUCGUGUCGUGAGAUGUUGGGUUAAGUCCCGCAACGAGCGCAACCCUUAAGCUUAGUUGCCAUCAUUAAGUUGGGCACUCUAAGUUGACUGCCGGUGACAAACCGGAGGAAGGUGGGGAUGACGUCAAAUCAUCAUGCCCCUUAUGAUUUGGGCUACACACGUGCUACAAUGGACAAUACAAAGGGCAGCGAAACCGCGAGGUCAAGCAAAUCCCAUAAAGUUGUUCUCAGUUCGGAUUGUAGUCUGCAACUCGACUACAUGAAGCUGGAAUCGCUAGUAAUCGUAGAUCAGCAUGCUACGGUGAAUACGUUCCCGGGUCUUGUACACACCGCCCGUCACACCACGAGAGUUUGUAACACCCGAAGCCGGUGGAGUAACCUUUUAGGAGCUAGCCGUCGAAGGUGGGACAAAUGAUUGGGGUGAAGUCGUAACAAGGUAACAAGGGCGAAUU